RNAcentral lists this ribosomal RNA (289 nucleotides) under uncultured prokaryote. Its description in RNAcentral is "partial 16S ribosomal RNA". It matches the Rfam family "Bacterial small subunit ribosomal RNA", at positions 524 to 815 of the family's 1533-position model. The record is from RNAcentral.
UACGUAGGGAGCGAGCGUUAUCCGGAUUUAUUGGGUGUAAAGGGUGCGUAGACGGGAAAUUAAGUUAGUUGUGAAAUCCCUCGGCUUAACUGAGGAACUGCAACUAAAACUGGUUUUCUUGAGUACUGGAGAGGGAAGUGGAAUUCCUAGUGUAGCGGUGAAAUGCGUAGAUAUUAGGAGGAACACCAGUGGCGAAGGCGACUUUCUGGACAGAAACUGACGUUGAGGCACGAAAGUGUGGGGAGCAAACAGGAUUAGAUACCCCUGUAGUCCCUGAGCGGGCUGGCAA